CAAGUCUUGACAUCCUCCUGGAUACAGGGUAAUGCCUGUAGGCCUUCGGGACAGGAGAGACAGGUGGUGCAUGGUUGUCGUCAGCUCGUGUCGUGAGAUGUUGGGUUAAGUCCCGCAACGAGCGCAACCCCUAUCUUUAGUAGCCAGCGAGCAAAGUCGGGCACUCUAGAGAGACUGCCGGGGAUAACCCGGAGGAAGGUGGGGAUGACGCCAAAUCAUCAUGCCCCUUAUGAUUUGGGCUACACACGUGCUACAAUGGCGUAAACAGAGGGAAGCGAGCCUGUGAGGGGGAGCAAAUCCCAAAAAUAACGUCCCAGUUCGGAUUGUAGUCUGCAACCCGACUACAUGAAGACUGGAAUCGACUAGUAAUCGCAGGAUCAGAAUCGCCGGCGGUGAAUAUCGUUACCGC
This 409-nucleotide ribosomal RNA is filed under the name uncultured bacterium. Its description in RNAcentral is "bacterial SSU rRNA". It matches the Rfam family "Bacterial small subunit ribosomal RNA", at positions 975 to 1376 of the family's 1533-position model. The record is from RNAcentral.